AAAAUCCAAUUUAAAUCCUCUCGGAGAGGGUUUUAGACAGCUGGUGAUAUGAGAGAAUUGCAAAGAAAUUGGGCUUUUCCAUUCAUGUGUUUAGGGGGGGACUGGCACUUGACUGGCAUUUUUAAAGUCUGUUCUGGGCAAAACAAUAUGCUUGGAAAUACCCCCAUGGGAAGAACACAAGAUUUACCAGGAACAGCUAAUUCACGUAACAGUUAUCACAUCUUGUUUUCUGUAAGAUUGUAAGAUAAAUUAGUGUGUGUUAAGAAACUUAUGGUAAAAUAUGCCUCGGUCUUUCAUCCUAAAGAAAACAUUAAAGAUUUCAUUACUCAUGACUGUAUCCUAGGAUAUGGCCAAUGAAAGGUGCCUGUGUCCCUCUUAGCUGUACACUGCUACAGAUUCACAGAAGAAUCACACUUUCUUUUUAUUGUCCAUCGCAUACCCUCCACUCUGCAUGCGUAUCCCCCAUAGAUCAUGGAGGGGGUGCCAUGCAGAUGCAUGGCAACAAACCACAAGACACCAUAACUCUGCCUGCCUAUCACAAGACAUGGUACCAGAGUGUCCUGGCUUUGUCCCCUACCUUCCAUCUGUUUUUCCCUGGAGCCUUUCUUUAAGAUGCCCUUCCUUAGACCUCCAGUCCAGAUCCCCUGGUCUAACUGGGAGGGAGGCUUAUGGAACCCAAAAGUGGCUUUAAGCUACUUGAACACUUCAGUGUAUCUGGAGUUAGUGGAGAUCAGUUUAGCUCCUGGGCAUUGUGCCAGUGGUGUCACUCACCCGGGACAAGGGAGAGCCUGGAGAUGGGACCUACAGAUCUGAGCCUGCAUGGGCCAGAGGAAGAGAAAUCAUCCACCAAGCUAAGACUGAGAAGCACAGUUGUGGGAUGAAAGAGCGGCAGUUGUAAGAACUGAAGAUUUCUGGAGGCAGUUUUUAACUGCUGGAUUGAGAAUCAGCUGUGAUUUCCACAGCCACAUCUACCAAACUGGACUGAAGAACCUCCAGCACAGAAAAAGCCUCAGGGAGGAGAUGAGAAGUUUAAUUAAUUAAUGCUUGUAAAAUGCUUUGAGACCCUCAGAUGGAAGACACUAGAGAAGUAGAAAGACUUAAUUAUUUUUACUGAUAUUGGUGGGGAGGGGAUGUAACUGCUUUGUAUUGUGAUAUUGUAUUGUGAUACUAUAGUCCUUUUGUUCUUUUUGAGUUCAAUCUACUCUGUAUAUGGUAUCUGAGACUGAAGAACAGCCAGAAAGAAAUAGUGCAAUUAUAAUCUCAGCAAUUUGGUUUGUAAAAACAUAUUUUCAGGGAUAUUUGCUCAAUGCAGUUGAACAAGAUUAUGUCAGACCUGCCAUUAUAUAGAAAUCAGGCUAUGGCACGAGCACACCUUAAACCAGCCACUGAAUUGUGACUUUGUCUCCUGCCUCAGCAGUUCUUUUUUCCUUAUUUACAUGUUUUUGCAAAGAAAAAUGUAGCUAUUAGCUAAAUGACAGCAAAAUAUUCAUACUGACAUUAUCAGAGGUAACCCUCUGAAUAAGCACAAGGAGAUAUUGGCUAGCUUAGCAGCACAGGAAAACAGAGUCCAAAUCCUUUCACCUCCAUGUCACCAGGUCCAGCCCAGUCUAGAUUGAUAGUUGCAAAAAUGCCAUUUGACAGGUUUUUGGCACUCUGAACAAAAUGAACUGGGCAAGGGAAGGAUGGAAAAAUCUCAGCCUGAGUCCCACUGGGACAAGUAUCAACACUACAAAUGGCACUGCUUGCCAGGUCAGAAAAGAGGCCAUUGCAUUUCUUGGACACAUUACUUCCAGGCGGGCAGGAGGAAUAAUGUCAGGGCCAUGUAAAAGAAACUUGCCCAGUCCUGCAUGUAACUCUUAGACUCCAAAAUCAACUGACUGUUUUCCAUCAGAAAAAUACCCACUUUAAAGAGCAGAGGAGAGACAGUGGGUAUCAGCCAGGCAGGGAGAGUUAUUUGCGGGCAGUUUCCUGAAAGGCGCUGCUUUUAGGACUAUGCCUCAGUGUUACCUCCAGUAACAAUCUGUCAUAACUCAGUGUUACUUAAAUACUUCUGCACCCCAGCACUGUGUCCAUCCCUAGUUUGUUUGCUGCAUGAAGGAUAGCUCAUUUGGAAUAAAACAUGGCUAGACAGAGGAAGCUGAUUCUCAAAUAUACAGUAUCUUAGACACCCUUGUGUCCUCCCCAUGACACCUGGGCAACUACCUUGUCAUUGGCAUAUUUUUCCUCAUGACACUCUGAUGAGGUAUUUCUUGGGAUGUCCUUUCAAAUGCUGCAGUCAGCGUGGGUCUUGCUGCAGUUGCACAUGUACCACUGUGUUAACAAGCCUGGAUUUUUUAAGCAUGUUUGGCAGGGCUGUGCAUGAACCAUGUGGUUCUGGUACUCUGAAACUGGGGAGAAAAGACAGAGCAGCUGAAACUUUCUGUUCCCUCAUAGUUCGGUGGCUGUGUUAGCUUGCAGUUGUGCCAAUACAGUCACAAGGCCCAUGUGAAGUAUAAUAUAUCAAAUAACAACAGUUACCAUAGGGUAUGUCACCACGUCUUCUGUUUCUGAUGGGAAUGCAGGACUGGCUCAGAACAAUGCAAAAAAGCACUACUGCUGGUAUCACUCAGAGAUUGGGAUACUUCUCUUCCAAAGGUGGAAUUGGCCCCGGCAGCUACAUCAAAGCAUAAUGCUGAGAGAAGGGUCCUCUGAGUACAUUCAGCUCACACCCCGUCUGAGAGCACUGGUGACCUGGCCUCAAAGAUCGGAAGGCAAGAGGAGAUGCACAGGAUUUUAACAACAAAGUGUGUUUGCAGUUCCACUAGAGCUGAAUCCGGGAAAUGUCAUUGUUCACAGUAUGGGCCAUGACCCCUGCAGCCUGCUUUGGAGGCAGUGACCUCUGCCAAACGGUGACAGAACUCAGCUCUUAGGUUCAGCUUAAUCCUGACCUGCAGCUUCACCUUUUAGCCCCCGGCUUCCCAAAUCGCUUUGACAAGACACUGAACUCCUGACCCACAGAAUCCCCUUUUAUUCCAGUCCUUAUCCCCUUCUGUCUCUAUCUAUCAUUUCAUCACUCUGAUCUCUACCAAAGCUGCUCACUCUGGAUCUGUGACACCCUUCUUAUUCCAAUACUAAGUAUUAGCAAUACCGUUCUCACUAGUAAACUCCUCUGUCUGACCAUUUCAACACUCCUCAAGCCUGACAAUGCCUGGUUUUGUUAGCCACACUGAUCAGUCAGACUAGACCCCUCCCAUCUAAAGUGCCUCUGCUACUGCAAUUCAGGGCUCGUCCUUCCUCCAGCUGUGUUGAUGCACCUCCCUCCUAAGAGGCCCUCAACAUACUUUAUUCAUAACGGUUACAGCCUGCAAAGAUGCUGAAACAGGAAGCCAAAUGACUGCUGUGCGACCUUGGGAAUGCAAAUUCCAUGUGUUUGCGAAGUCAAAGCAAGCCAUUUCCUUCCCCAGUCCCUCCUCCCUCUGCAGGCGUGCAAGCCACAGCUAAUGGGAAAACACACAGGCACACACAAAGCUUUGUCGAUGCUAAUUGCCAGGAGCUGAGGCCCAACCAUCCUGUUGACUAAUUUGUCAGCCGCUGCUGACUCAGCAAUCUGGAGGGACCUCAAGUGCAUUGGGAAGUAAAUGGCUCUUAUUGUUCUUUCCUUCCCUUCACUCCGGUGUCUGUAUUUGUGGACAAUUCCUGCCCUGGGCUUGACCUUGGCUGCAGCAGUGACUGGAGGGCUGGGAUUGCCAUGGCUGGUGGGCCUCUCAUUAAACCCUAAUGGAAAGAACAGGCUCAGUUGUGGCAGGAGAGAGACGGGGGAACGUGUGACCUGAUCUGGAAAUAGCAUGUGCACGAGCAGGCUAGGGCAGAGAGGAGAAGGCUGACCCGAAUUAUGUGUCUUGUGUGGGAUAAAGACAAGUGAGAUCAACAAGCUAGGUGCUGUCUGGAACAAACAUCCCUAAACCUGCCUGAAAUGUGCAGGACUUCCUCACCCAGUCGUGACUCUGCCCUUUGCUUAAACAGCAGAUCUGGGCAUGAGCCCAGGCAAAUGUCCUCUGGCCAAAGGACAAAGCUGCUUUUGGUGAACUGCAGAUGACAGGGGAAGAGGUGCAGGCAUUCCCUGGCCAAUGCCGCAGGCAGGAGGACAGAGACCUGGAGCUGCUCCACACAGCAAGGUGCAGUUUUGUACAGUGGUGUAACAGACAUCCCACACCUGGGCAGUGUAAGGAAACGUUUGUGGAAAGGGUUACCUGAAAAUUAGAGAAAGCAGAGGAAGAGACGAAAGACAGGCCCCUGUGGAAUUCCCUUUUCCCCAGACGGUUCAUGGAAAACCAUGCCCCAAAGGACACAGGUGGGACAGCCCAUAUAGCAUACACAUGUCUAUCCCAACACAGACCUGCCAAAAACAUGUAUGUCCCCUCACUGCACCACAGCUGCAUGAGUGCAUGCACAGUUCUACAGAGCACACAUAUGCAUAGAGGGAGAAAUGCUGCCACACACUAACAGAUAUCCCAUAUACACCCAUUUAUUUGUACAUGGCGCUUCUGUAUGGGCAUACUGGUGUGGUGUAACUCUGUCAUGAGCACACCUAUUAGUGUGGCCAGCUCUGCCCCCGGGCCUGACUCAGUCCAGCCCUGACUGAGUAGUUCUAUCAGUACUGUGAAACUUUGAGUCAGCUGAUAGCAGCAGAUCCAAAUCCCUUCUCAGAGACUGGCAAGCAGAGUACGUUUCUGCAGUCACUGCGGAGGGAGUGCUGUGUGUGCAUAAUACUUGUUGGAAGAAUGGUACAGCCAGGGAUACUGUUGGAGUUGCGUCUAGAGGCAACUGAAUAAUUAAUUAUCAAUAAUAUUGUGAAUUCUGGCAAUAUUUUAACUGAAUAAAUAUUCACAAAUAUGUUUCCAUUAUUUAGCCAGCUUUGGCUCUGUCCCAUUCCAUUUAAUAUGCAACUCUAUCCAACUUUGCUCCCAGGUAGGAAAAUGAGCUGAAUCCUGUAAGACAUGUGGAUUCCAGUUUCGCAAUCAGCAGGUGGCAUUUAUCUAAUAACCUCUUUGUAAGAAAGAGCUUUGCUAUGCAAUGCUUUUCUAACCAGUCUGGGCAUUAUAAAGGUGUUUAUUAAGAGAGCUAGGCAUUUGCAGUAUGUACAACUUCCAUCUGUGCAUUUUCUUUAAAUUCUUUGGUUUGUAGCUUCUCAGAAAUAGCUAUCUUGGUCUUUUUCACUUAGACCUGCAUGUCGUGUGCUGGUUGUAAACAGGCUAUUUUGGACAAAUUACUCUUCUUUUGGAGAGUAUUCUGCAUGUCAGUAACAUGAGUGGUUCCUUUGAAGACAGCAGGCAUGUUUCUUUCAGGGUUAUUGUUUUGAGAAAGCCCUAGAAAACAAACUGUCUUCUUCCACCUGUUGCCAAACCAGCUCUGAAACAAAACUUUGCAGGACAGUCCUGUGCUUUCUUCUAAACAUCCUCAGUACAGCCUGCUCUGUUCCUGACUUGCAGGAGCCUAGAUCAUUGUUAGGCUGUUAAAGAAUUUGCUAUUAUUCCAGGCUUUCUGAAGCUUACCUUCUCCACCUCUUUCUGUCCAUCUCAGUUUAGUUACAAAUCUCUUUUGACCUGGGAAUUUCUGUUCUGGUAGUGAGUCUGCAUUCUUUUAUAUGGCUCACGAAGAGCUCAUGGGCUCCUGCGAGGUUCAGAAAUCUAUAAUGAAUAACGCGAAAAAAUAAUAAUUCCACUGCAUAAAAAUACUGAGCGGCUCUAAUUUCUAUUGAGGACAAAUCACACAAGUAUGGCCCUUCUGAGCCAAACUCAUUUUGAAAUAAGAUGUUCCAACAAAUCACUGGAAGACUUUUUCAGAGAUAAAAACCUUCUCACCUUCCAGACAUCUCCUUUAUUAAAUGUCUCAUCCAGUUCAUUGCAAUCUCUCCAUAUUAGGCAUAAUACCAAACACUAAAAUAUAUCGGAUAGAAAGAUGAGAGUGAUGAAGUUUGGAUCUGGAUUGUCAUUUAUAAUGUUAAAUUAGACUCAUAGCCACAGUCCCAUAAAAGUAAGUAUUUAUCACAGAGAGAGACAGGCUCUUAGUCUUGGCUAUACUCUACGUAUGGAUUAAGCCCAAGGACAGAGGUGGUCUUAAACCACCUCUGGUCACCAUUCGUGGGGUGCUGGGUUCUCUGAUGUAAAUUAGAGCAUGCCAAUGAAUCUCACUAAAGGAGCUUGACUUUUUCCAGAGAUAUCGUGCAUCAUACACACACAGGCAUAGAGUCAAAUCCCUUCUCAUUGGAUGGUUCGCAUAGCCUGGCAGUAAGUUGGUCUAGGCUAGGGACUCGUGUUCAUCACCACAGCAUUGCAACCUGCACCUGCUUGAGCAGCUUCAGAAGGUGACAGCAAUAACUUCCUUGGCCUCCUCUGUAAAUCAAGGGUUACAGCAGACCAGACCUGGACUAUCUUUUCUUCCUACUGCAACACAUGUUCCAGUUUUCCAGAUAAAUGUUAGCUUUAGUUUCCUUUCCUGAAAACAGAAGAUGUUUCUUUAAUGCAUGAAGAACUCAUGGAAAAGAAAA
This is a long non-coding RNA of Columba livia (rock pigeon), 6526 nucleotides long. RefSeq lists it as uncharacterized. The record is from RefSeq and is a predicted model, not a curated record. NCBI's taxonomy places the organism in Eukaryota, Metazoa, Chordata, Aves, Columbiformes, Columbidae. The transcript has 4 exons.